AUGCCGGACAGGAGCGGCGCGACCCUGUUUGAGGACCUGCCUGCGGAGAUGAUCGACAAGAUACUCACUCAGUUGCCGUCCAAGGAUCUCGGCGGCUGUCGUGCCGUCAGCACGUCGUUGCACAGUGCCACCUCCACGUCUGAAUUCAUGCUCGAACACCACCGCUGCCAGCCGUCACGUCCCAUCAUCGACGGAAGACCACGGCCCAGCGGCCUUGUCGUCUUCCGUGACGCUGGCGCCCCUCAACAGCUCUGGACCUUCGUCUGGGACCCCGAAAUCUCUUCGAAGGAACUCCUCCACGGUGCCUGUGAUGGCUUCCUCAUCGUCUCCCGAGGACUCCGAUUUUACAUCUGCAACCCAGCCAUCAGCAAGCAUGUUCCCCUACCGCUUCCUCAGGUUGGACCAGAGAACUACAACUCUGUGAUCGGUUUCUACCGGCACGAUCCCACUGGAGAGUACAGGGUGCUCUGGGUCUCGCACUCACAGCCAGGGUCACAAUCUAAACCCAGUUUAUACAUCAUUACAGUGGGAUCCAACAAGCCAAGGCAGGUCAGAGUGAGAAUGCCAGCAGUUUUGCCACCUUCCGCGGAACAGAAAUUACUAAAUGAUCUGUGCUCUUGGUCCUAUUAUGCACCAUCAGUCCACCAUUGUGGCGGCCUGCACUGGUGUCCUUAUGGCGCCAGCGACAUUUGGGCCUGCGGUGCAGACAUUAUUGUGUUUGACACACAAGCCGAGACAUUCCGGUGCAUCCGCAGUCCCGCCCAGUCGUGCCCUAAUAGGAAGUUGUUCCACAUGGAGGGGACCCUUGCUUUAUGGGGCGCCAGCUCGACACGUAGUUUUACCAUUAUGGAUGUCUGGGUGAUGCAGGAUUACAAGGCUCAAAUAUGGGUUUUCAAGUACCGGAUUGACCUAUCAAUGGUGGAGGCAUCACGGCAGCUCUAUUUAACUACUUUGAAAAAGAAAAAGAUAAGGCAAACACCACUUGAUUCAACGGUUGAAGAGUUCAAUGAUAUGGCUGUGCUCAACGAGCGUGAGCUGCUGAUCAAGUUUAAUAAGAAACAUGUGCUACACUGGGACAUUGAUGGCAAGUUCCUAGGUAUUGUGAACAUUGGAAAGAGUCAAUAUUGUAUGGCGCUUACUCAGUGCCGCCUCCAAGAGAGCGUUAUUCCAAUUCCGUCCCACGGGAUGCAAGGAGAAGAUGAGGAACCUCCAUUCUCCACAGAGCAUGUCUGA
This 1233-nucleotide ribosomal RNA is filed under the name Triticum aestivum (bread wheat). RNAcentral describes it as "partial small subunit ribosomal RNA". Lineage: Eukaryota; Viridiplantae; Streptophyta; Magnoliopsida; Poales; Poaceae. The record is from RNAcentral.